This 629-nucleotide ribosomal RNA is filed under the name uncultured delta proteobacterium. RNAcentral's name for it is "bacterial SSU rRNA". It matches the Rfam family "Bacterial small subunit ribosomal RNA", at positions 295 to 916 of the family's 1533-position model. The record is from RNAcentral. Lineage: Bacteria; Deltaproteobacteria.
AGAGGAUGAACAGCCACACUGGAACUGAGACACGGUCCAGACUCCUACGGGAGGCAGCAGUGGGGAAUCUUGCGCAAUGGGCGAAAGCCUGACGCAGCGACGCCGCGUGAGCGAUGAAGACCUUCGGGUUGUAAAGCUCUGUGGGGAGGAAAGAAUAAGGUUUGGCUAAUAUCCAAACUGAUGACGGUACCUCCUUAGCAAGCACCGGCUAACUCUGUGCCAGCAGCCGCGGUAAGACAGAGGGUGCAAACGUUGUUCGGAAUUACUGGGCGUAAAGCGCGUGUAGGCGGCCCCGCAAGUCGGAUGUGAAAUCCCACGGCUCAACCGUGGAAGUGCAUUCGAAACUGCGAGGCUAGAGUCCUGGAGAGGAAGGUGGAAUGCUUGGUGUAGAGGUGAAAUUCGUAGAUAUCAAGCGGAACACCGGUGGCGAAGGCGGCCUUCUGGACAGUGACUGACGCUGAGACGCGAAAGCGUGGGGAGCAAACAGGAUUAGAUACCCUGGUAGUCCACGCCGUAAACGAUGAGUGCUAGGUGUCACGGGCUUUGACCCUCGUGGUGCCGAAGCUAACGCGUUAAGCACUCCGCCUGGGGAGUACGGCCGCAAGGCUAAAACUCAAAGGAAUUGACGG